GAUGAAGAACGCAGCGAAAUGCGAUAAGUAGUGUGAAUUGCAGAAUUCAGUGAAUCAUCGAAUCUUUGAACGCACAUUGCGCCCGCCAGUAUUCUGGCGGGCAUGCCUGUUCGAGCGUCAUUUCAACCCUCAAGCUCAGCUUGGUGUUGGGACUCGCGGUAACCCGCGUUCCCCAAAUCGAUUGGCGGUCACGUCGAGCUUCCAUAGCGUAGUAAUCAUACACCUCGUUACUGGUAAUCGUCGCGGCCACGCCGUAAAACCCCAACUUCUGAAUGUUGACCUCGGAUCAGGUAGGAAUACCCGCUGAACUUAAGCAUAUCAAUAAGCGGAGGA
This 333-nucleotide unclassified non-coding RNA is filed under the name soil metagenome. Its description in RNAcentral is "partial contains 5.8S ribosomal RNA, internal transcribed spacer 2, and large subunit ribosomal RNA". The stretch from base 1 to 120 matches the Rfam family "5.8S ribosomal RNA", at positions 35 to 154 of the family's 154-position model. The record is from RNAcentral.